RNAcentral lists this ribosomal RNA (467 nucleotides) under uncultured bacterium. Its description in RNAcentral is "partial 16S ribosomal RNA". It matches the Rfam family "Bacterial small subunit ribosomal RNA", at positions 28 to 507 of the family's 1533-position model. The record is from RNAcentral.
GACGAACGCUGGCGGCGUGCUUAACACAUGCAAGUCGAACGGAAAGGCCUCUUUCGGGGGGUACUCGAGUGGCGAACGGGUGAGUAACACGUGAGUAACCUGCCCUUGACUUUGGGAUAACUUCAGGAAACUGGGGCUAAUACCGGAUAGGAGCUCCUGCUGCAUGGUGGGGGUUGGAAAGUUUCGGCGGUUGGGGAUGGACUCGCGGCUUAUCAGCUUGUUGGAGGGGUAGUGGCUUACCAAGGCUUUGACGGGUAGCCGGACGGUGAGGGUGACCGGCCACAUUGGGACUGAGAUACGGCCCAGACUCCUACGGGAGGCAGCAGUGGGGAAUAUUGCACAAUGGGUGGAAGCCUGAUGCAGCAGCGCCGUGUGCGGGAUGACGGCCUUCGGGUUGUAAACCGCUUUCGCUCAUGACGAAGCUUUGUGUGACGGUAGUGGGUAAAGAAGCACCGGCUAACUACGUG